GGCUCAGUAGCUCAGUGGUCAGAGCAGGGGAUUCAUAAGCCCAAGGUCGUAGGUUCAAAUCCCACCUGAGCCA
This 73-nucleotide transfer RNA is filed under the name Gronococcus sybilensis. RNAcentral describes it as "tRNA-Met". It matches the Rfam family "tRNA". From Rfam's summary of the family: Transfer RNA (tRNA) molecules are approximately 80 nucleotides in length. Their secondary structure includes four short double-helical elements and three loops (D, anti-codon, and T loops). Lineage: Eukaryota; Rhodophyta; Bangiophyceae; Cavernulicolales; Cavernulicolaceae. The record is from RNAcentral.